UACGUAGGGGGCGAGCGUUGUCCGAAGUUACUGGGCGUAAAGCGCACGUAGGCGGUUAUCUAAGUCUGGGGUGAAAGGUUCAGUGCUUAACGCGAACAGUGCCUUGGAGACUGGAUGACUUGGGUUUGGGAGAGGGUAGUGGAAUGGCUGGUGUAGCGGUGAAAUGCGUAGAUAUCAGUCGGAACACCAAUGGCGAAGGCAGCUACCUGGCCUAAAACUGACGCUGAGGUGCGAAAGCGUGGGGAGCGAACGGG
This 254-nucleotide ribosomal RNA is filed under the name uncultured bacterium. Its description in RNAcentral is "partial 16S ribosomal RNA". It matches the Rfam family "Bacterial small subunit ribosomal RNA", at positions 524 to 776 of the family's 1533-position model. The record is from RNAcentral.